CCCCUGGAAUCGCACACGGUUGCAAUAUUAAUCUUCGUCGAUCGGUUGAAAAUAUAAUGUGUAUGUUUAUAUAUUGCUAAUUUCUCGAUGAAUCAUUUAUAAGCGAUAUUCAUCGAUUCAUCGUUAUUUAUGUGAUUCAGACGUUCGAUCUCUUUCGAGUUUAUUUUUUUUUACUUUCAUAGAAAGUGUCAAGAGAAAAAAAUCAAUAAUCUCGUUGUAUAAUCUCAUCGUUAAUUAUCGAAUGGGACAAUUGAGAAACAUUGGCACGAGAAACGUGCGCUAAACGAGAUAAUCGAAGUGGGAUAUCCCGUUUUCCCUGGCUACGCUUGAUUCAAUGCCAAGAAUUCUUCGCACACAAUUACGUUCUCUGUGCUUUACGAUCUGCGAUUAAGUAAUUGUAUAUAUCAUUGUGGCGACGUACGUAAGUACAUGAGUAAUUAUAAGUCGAGCAUUAUCGAAGAAAUGAUAUAAAUAUACAAUCAAUAAACUCUUUUGAUUUUUUAAUAUUCAUUUAUUUCUUAAUUAUUUAUUUUUUUUCAUUCACAAAAAGCAAAAUAAUAAAAAUGAUCAAACACAUGUUAUUGAAUUAAAGAGACAAACAUGGUACUUUUUUCAAGUACCAUAAUAUAACCUCAAAGAGAAAAAACAACGAGGGAAAUAUGGAGAGAAAGUCUGCUCCGACUGAUGUUUCUUUCUCGAUUGUCCAGUUCGAUUUUCUCGUCGGGGAAACUGACUUGUAAUAUUUCUGCGUUUUUAUUACUUUAAUGUAUCAAACUCUUUUAAAGCAUUCAACGUUUUAAAACAUUCCAACGUUCAGUGUUUCGACUAAUAAACUUCAUUGCAACUAAUAAUUUUCAAACGUUCUGCAUGAAAUAAACAAGACUAGUAAUUACGAAAUAAUAUAUUGAGAAAAUUUGCGAUUCCCUGGAUGUUCUACGUUAGCGAGUUACUUAUGAUCAUGUGAAAAUAAUUAUACAUUCUGCAAAAUAACCUGUUGUUGUAAUUGUUUCUAAAGUGUAGUCGCUCGUGCAACGUUUUGUUUUGUAGCACGAUGCAGUAAAAAUUAGCAAAAGGCAUUUAUUAUUUCUGUAGAAUUUAUCUUGUGGAGCAUUAAAUAUUCAGAUUGUGUAUAGUCCCAAUCAUAAGUUGUUGGAAACUUAACGUUUCAGGAUACAGAAAAAUGAACAUUGUAUUUAAUAUACCAACAUGGUAUGUGAUAGAAAAUUUUAAAAUAUUAAAUUAAAAAAUAUUUAUGAUUAAUGUGAAUAAUGUUUAGAUAGAUUAAUGCGAAUAGGUUAAGUUAGGAAGGUUAGGUUAGAAAGACGACUUAUUACUAUAUUUAGAAACUAUAAUUAAAUAUAUUUUUUAAUAAUUACAAUGAUUAUUGGAUGGAAUAAUAAUCGUAUCGAUACAAAGAAUUAGAAAAUAUUGCGAAUUUUUUUUCCUCGGUAAAGAAAUACUUUUAUUCGAAAAAGAUUGAAAUAUUUUUACUCGUGAACGAAGAAGUGAAAAGGAAAAAAGAAUUAUUUCAUUCAAAAUUGAGUUGUAAAUGGAUGAAUUGUUAUUUACAAAGAAUUUUAUCGCUUCCUUUUGAAAAAUAUAUUCGUGGAAUAUAAUUUGUAUAUUUCAAAUUUUAUAACCUCUGACAUUUUACUCUUCAUUUUUUCAUCAUUUCGUGAUUUGAUUUUUUAAACAUCUAAAUAUUCCUUUGUUUUAUAUAAAACAAUUUAUACGACAGUUUUGCAAUUUCUUUUACAUUUUUAUUUAAAAAUUAAAAAAGUUUUUAUCACUUUAAUCGCAUAGAUUAGAACAUAGAUUAAACUAAAUUAAUUUAUGCACAAUUUUAUCUUAUAAAUAGUUUGUAACUAUAUAUAUAUAUAUAUAGAGUACAACAUAAAAAUUUAUUUUUCUUCUUGUCUUCGAGUCAAUUUUUUAUUUGUUAAGAUUUAUAUAUUAAGUUUUACAUAUUUUCGUUGUUUAUAUAUAUUCAUUCUACAUACAAAACAUAAAAUUCAAAAUUAUAUCAGUGUCCAUAUUUUUUUGAUCAACUGUUUAUUUAUAUAGAACAGUUUCUCAAUAAUAUUGGUAUCGAUUAGAAAAAAAAAAAUAUAAAAAUAUACAUGUCAAAAAAAGUCAAUAAAACAGCAAUAUUAUCUCUGUCGACAAAUUUAAAAAUAUUUUUCAAACAAACGUCCAAUAAGAUUUCUCAUUCGAAAACUCGUUUCCACAAACCGGUGAGCACAAUUACACGCAAAAAAGAUAAUUAAACGAGCAUUACUAUUGGAUGUCACAACAAGAUCUCUUGCGCAUGCUUCAACUAUGAGAUAUACCACUCGAUUCGUAAAGUGGUUUCGAGCAUCCUUCUAUAUUAAUCUUCGUCAAUAGAUCCUUCUAAUUUAAUAUCAAUUGCAGUGUCGAUCAGAAGAAAAUAAUUUCUCGACAGAACAGCUUUUCCAUCGAGAACUCGUGAACUACAAGAUCGAGGAAAAAGGAUAUCUCUUCUAUAUUUUCUGCUUUCUUUUUUUAGGCCUCAUUAUCGACCGACAGUCUCUCGUUCAACGACAUUCUCAGAAGGUAUUGUUGUUCAGUGCCGAGUGCAUGCUCGAAACUCACGUGUAAUGGAACUUAAUGCAAAUACAUUCUGCGACUUCAUUAAUGACGGGGACGCGGUGUGUCACGUGGGGCCAUUACACCGUGAACAUACGACUCUGUUGUAUGUAUACACGUUACUAAAGUUAUCUAAGUUGUACCGCUGUGUCAAGUCCUUCGAAGUCGGAUGUGUGUCUAUUCAUUAGCGAUAUAAUGCAUCGAAUUACGUUAUUAUCCAUACACGAGAGGCCGUAUACAUUUGAGAGGCCAUAUACGCGUUGGAGAGAAAAAAAAGGAGCAUUUGGUUCGAAAUUUGAAAAAUUUUUACCGGAGAUUGAUAUGAACUGAAAAUGUAAUACGGUCACGUAUAUAUAUGUAUGUAUGUAUGUGUUUCGUUUAAAUUGAUAAGAUAAAUGGUGCAUUGGUGAAAUCGUGUACGAAAAUUUCGUCAGAGUAUCCCUCGCACGUGGAGCAUUACGUGGGGUUUAACACUUUCGACCUUGAAAAGGAAUUGAAUGGAUAAGAGCCGAAUCAAAAGGAUAGAGAGCGUGCAAGAAUAUGGAAAUUAGAUAUGAACUUAGUAUUCAACUGCAGAUAAUUACAGAGAAGAAAUUGAUAAGUUGCGACAUGUAAAAUUUUACCAAUAAUAUUAAUUCAAUUGCGCAAGAGGAUUCGAGUUAAUAUAACGAGAUUUAUUUCGCUUGAUAUAAUAUUUACCGAGGCUUUGUUGUUUCUCUUGGAAUAACUGAAUGGAGAGAGAGAAUGGAAUGGAAUCGGGCACCAAUUGGAAAAAUUGUGCGGCAGCAGGGGGACGAGAUUCGCAAAAUGUCGUGAAAACACGGCGGGCGUCCCACUUUCCAGCGAGUACGAAUCGUACACCGAUCAAAAAUUCAACCUCGCCGCCGUUUAAACAAAAACUUAAAAACGUCGAAAUUGAUUUUACAACCGAUCGAUCGAAAAUGCAAGGGGGAAGCAGAAGCGAUAGAUCUCGAGGUGGCGGAUCUUCUGACUGGAUCGUCAAAGUGUAUUGGAAAAUAGGAAAUGACGAAGGGCGAAGGUUUGCUUUCUUCAAAUACCGCGUUACUUUUCCUUUAAUUUUCUAUUUUAAAUAAAUAAAUUUAGUGGAACGAUGAUCGACGAUUGAACGAGGGAAUCGCGCGAUGAUUCACGAAAUACGUGGAUUUUUCCUUAUUUUAAUUUUAUCACAGUUCGCAGAAAAAUUGUUGAGAGGAAGAUUUAUUUUAUUGAAAAUUGUUUAUCGGUGUGUCGCAAAGAGGAAUCGAAGUGAAACGAUAAGAGAAAGUGUGAUGACCGUAAUUAUCAGAUCGUAAAAAAAUUGUUAGUCGAGUGAAUUAAUUAAUAAGAUCGAUUUAUGAGAUAAUAAAUUAAGAUCAGGUAAGUUUUGAACUAACCAAUCUAUUUCCAGAAAUCAUCAUUACAUUUGAUUACAUUUUAUUCGUACAACGAAAAGAUAAAGAGAAUGUAUGCUUUAAAAUAAAAUUCUUAAGUAUUGCCUA
Molecule: long non-coding RNA, 4106 nt
Organism: Apis cerana (Asiatic honeybee)
Lineage: Eukaryota; Metazoa; Arthropoda; Insecta; Hymenoptera; Apidae
Source: RefSeq, a predicted model, not a curated record